This 253-nucleotide ribosomal RNA is filed under the name uncultured bacterium. Its description in RNAcentral is "partial 16S ribosomal RNA". It matches the Rfam family "Bacterial small subunit ribosomal RNA", at positions 524 to 776 of the family's 1533-position model. The record is from RNAcentral.
UACGGAGGGGGCUAGCGUUGUUCGGAAUUACUGGGCGUAAAGCGCACGUAGGCGGACCAGCAAGUUAGGGGUGAAAUCCCGGGGCUCAACCCCGGAACUGCCUUUAAAACUGUUGGUCUGGAGGUCGAGAGAGGUGAGUGGAAUUCCGAGUGUAGAGGUGAAAUGCGUAGAUAUACGGAGGAACACCAGCGGCGAAGGCGGGUAGCUGGGCCAACACUGACGCUGAUGCGCGAAAGCCAGGGUAGCAAACGGG